RNAcentral lists this ribosomal RNA (399 nucleotides) under Triticum aestivum (bread wheat). RNAcentral describes it as "partial small subunit ribosomal RNA". The record is from RNAcentral. Lineage: Eukaryota; Viridiplantae; Streptophyta; Magnoliopsida; Poales; Poaceae.
AUGGCCAAAAGUAUCAUCAAAUUGGCACGUUGCUACCUAAAGAUAAUGGAGAUAAUGCUCUCAGGCCAAAGUUUGCUCAAUUGUACAUUUUAUGAUACAGAAAAUGAGGUCAGAAACAGAAUGCAGGCUUCAACCUCAAAGGGAAGGAAAACACAACUUGAUGAAGGCAUUGUGUCUGGAUUAUUGCAGAUGCUUGAUGAUCACAAUGAGUUACUGAAAUCAUUCCGUAUGGCAAGGGAUAGAUACCGAGAGUCGGAUCUCGAAAAUGUUAGGUUGCUAUUAAUUGGUACAAGAUCCAGUGAUGGAAGACAAUACAACCUACCAACUGCAUCUGAAAUAGCUGCACUCAUUGUUGGGGAACAGACAGGAGAAAAUGUUGAACGUGAUAUAAUACUAUAA